CCGGUCCCGCCCGCGCCCGGGCUUUCUGGCAGAAGAGGGCGGGUGAGGGCGUGGGGGGCGGACUCAGGGUCCGUCUGCUCCGGGAACGGACGUCGUCGCAGCCGAGUGAAUUUCGUGUACAUAAGCGUGGAAAACGCUCUUGCAGAUCUCGCGGCAGCCACGCGCAGCGGGGACGUUUUGCCGGGGGUUGAGCUCCCCGCCCCUCUGCCCCGCAGGGGCCGGACACAGGCGCAGACUCCCUCCUGAGCGUGGGUUCCUCCGCGUGAAACGGGCACGAAGCCCACCCCGGCGCUGUCGCCAAAACUGAGAUCUGAGCGCCUUCAGGGGGCCGGGGCCUGGCGGAGACCGGGCCCGCAGCGGGAGCGCGAGCGACGGCCGCCCUCCCAGGCACCGGGAGGCUGUGGCGCCCACCGAGCUCCGCGGAGCCGUGAAGGAGAGUCCAGGUUCCACAGUGUCCCUUCUUAUCCCAGGCGGGUGGGCUCCCCGGGCCUCCCCGCCUCUCCAGCCCGCCGCCCUCCCGCAGGCUGUGCCGCGCCAAGCCCCCUACACACACCCUCUCUCUUUUCGGUCUCCGCUGCUGAAAUUUUCUCUAGAAAUUUCUUUCCCGCUGCCCAGCAAACUCUUGCUCUUCCUUGAAGGCUUCUUCCUCCACCACCUCCUCCAGGAAGCCCUCCCUCCUCAGCCCAGCUGGAGGAGAUCGCUCCAUCUUUCCUGCCGCUCCCACUCCUAGCUUUGGGUCUCACCAGGGGUGCCUGGUGGUGCAGCCGUGAGCAGAGCUCCUGUUCCCACAAGCCGGGCCGAGCUCCCAAGGCCAUGGCUACCACAGCUCUCUUGCCGCUGGCCAAGUUGGUCAGCCCUAGGGCGAGGGUUCCAGUGCCUUGAUCCAACCCCCAGCUGGUUCGGUGGCAGAGGAGGACAAGGGUCACAGCACACACACAAUCCUGAGCCUGGGAUUCCUCUCUGAGAAAGGGGGUGGUGCUGAGGCCACAGAAGCAGCUGCCCAGAGCCUUUUUGAAGGGGUUGAGCUCUGGGCCUGGUCUGGGUCCUGGGUCUGGGGAGGACCUGGGGAGGUGCGGGUGACGGCACCGCAGGGAAAGCCGGAAAUGACCCAGCGGCAGCCAUAUCUCUAGGACCGCCCCCGGGUGAAGGACAGACAACUGCACACCACAGAGCUCGGGAAAACCAACAGCAUCUCAGUGUAGCGGGGAGAUGGGCAGAUGGGG
This 1223-nucleotide long non-coding RNA is filed under the name Homo sapiens (human). RNAcentral describes it as "HSALNT0157085". Lineage: Eukaryota; Metazoa; Chordata; Mammalia; Primates; Hominidae. The record is from RNAcentral.